GUAGGUGGCAAGCGUUGUCCGGAAUUAUUGGGCGUUAAGCGCGCGCAGGCGGUCCUUUAAGUCUGAUGUGAAAGCCCACGGCUCAACCGUGGGGGGUCAUUGGAAACUGGGGGACUUGAGUACAGAAGAGGAAAGCGGAAUUCCAAGUGUAGCGGUGAAAUGCGUAGAGAUUUGGAGGAACACCAGUGGCGAAGGCGGCUUUCUGGUCUGUAACUGACGCUGAGGCGCGAAAGCGUGGGGAGCAAACAGGAUUAGAUACCCUGGUAGUCCACGCCGUAAACGAUGAGUGCUAAGUGUUAGGGGGUUUCCCGCCCCCCUUAGUGCUGCAGCUAACGCAUUAAGCACUCCGCCUGGGGGAGUACGGCCGCAAGGCUG
RNAcentral lists this ribosomal RNA (375 nucleotides) under uncultured organism. Its description in RNAcentral is "partial 16S ribosomal RNA". It matches the Rfam family "Bacterial small subunit ribosomal RNA", at positions 527 to 896 of the family's 1533-position model. The record is from RNAcentral.